This is a long non-coding RNA of Oreochromis aureus, 1319 nucleotides long. The record is from Ensembl. NCBI's taxonomy places the organism in Eukaryota, Metazoa, Chordata, Actinopteri, Cichliformes, Cichlidae.
UAAACUUUUCACGUUAUAACGUGAUAAACUUAUAUUUCUCUUUUGCCUGGGCUGCAGCUCUACGCUUCCGUGCCAAAUAAGUGAGAAUAAAGUAAUAUUAUAUGAGAAAAGGCACCUGCUAGCUUGAUGAUGGAGGCUUCAUAGACCGGCCACCCGUCUUUUGGCUUCUUGUCGCCACUCCACCAAAUAAAGGUCCGUUUCCUCCAUGCCGGCUAAUUAUUCAUCCUCAUUAAAAUCUCGUAUAUGUUCAGUUGGCAGGAUUGAGAAUUUUACAUCUUCCAACCACUUAAUUAACGCGAACAUAAUCGGCUUGUUUCUUCCCGUCUCCUGUAUCCGGCCGUUCCUCUCACUGUCGGAAUUCGCGCCUCAGAGAGGUCGUUAUUUUUCAAAAAAAAAAAAAGAAAGAAAAAAGAAAGAAAGAAACAGCAACAACUAAUAAAGAGAGUUUUUGCACGUUCAUUGCACAUUUGUGGGAAUGUUUAAAUAUUAAAUUUUUAUUAAUUGCUUUUCAUUAUAUCUUUAUUUUUAAACCACCAUGGCAAUGCACAUGCGCAUACUCCUGCACGCAAAGGGCUUUGGAGUUGACGUAAUGUCGCAAUGCAUUGUGGGAGCGCAGCACCAUCUUGGCAGGCUGCGAAUCAAAACAAGAUUGCCACGAACCAUUCUGAAACGUAGCUCAAAAGAAAAAUGACGGUAUAGAGACAGAUUGUGUCCAGAUGCAAAGAGAUGGUACUUGAUUGCUGAAAUGUGGACCCGUAUGAAAUACUGCCGUGGAGUAGAAACCCUGAAGACCAAACCGCUAUUGACUUAGCAUGAUCUACUCUCGUACCUUGUCUGUGGAGUCAGCGCAUACACGGCGCACCAAUUUCGCAAUUAUAAAUCUCUGGAGGCGCACAUCCAAUUCACCAAGGACUGGGUACAAGAUUUGGCUAUUUUUAAGCCUCCACGUUGUGAGUACACCGUCAUUCAAGCAAAGGUACUGCACUCUUAAAGACUGAAUUGCAGCAUUGCAGCCACAGGUGAUUGUGAGCAUCACAGGGAAGGUUGAAGCCGCCCACUGCACCUUUAUGGCCGGAGUCGUGGAGACCUGCAGCCAUGUCCCUGCUCUUCUGUUUAAUGUAGAAGCAACAGUGCCGAUCUGUGGCACAAGGACUGUUACAGAUGAACCUGCAUACUGGGUUUUGCCUGGUAAUAUGACCAAGACACAGCCAGAGGUUGGCCAUAAGAUAGACUUCUCCUCUUCAGCUGCCCAAAAAGGCUCUCGAUCAAAACAUAAACAGACCAUCUGUAGUGACAGGUAAAAGAAGCCGUCCUCAAAA